This 492-nucleotide ribosomal RNA is filed under the name uncultured bacterium. Its description in RNAcentral is "partial 16S ribosomal RNA". It matches the Rfam family "Bacterial small subunit ribosomal RNA", at positions 29 to 507 of the family's 1533-position model. The record is from RNAcentral.
AGUGAACGCUGGCGGUAGGCCUAACACAUGCAAGUCGAACGGCAGCACAGUAAGAGCUUGCUCUUACGGGUGGCGAGUGGCGGACGGGCGAGGAAUACAUCGGAAUCUACUUUUUCGUGGGGGAUAACGUAGGGAAACUUACGCUAAUACCGCAUACGACCUACGGGUGAAAGCAGGGGAUCUUCGGACCUUGCGCGAUUGAAUGAGCCGAUGUCGGAUUAGCUAGUUGGCGGGGUAAAGGCCCACCAAGGCGACGAUCCGUAGCUGGUCUGAGAGGAUGAUCAGCCACACUGGGACUUAGACACAGUCCAGACUCCUACGGGAGGCAGCAGUAGGGAAUAUUGGACAAUGGGCGCAAGCCUGAUCCAGCUAUACCGCGUGGGUGAAGAAGGCCUUCGGGUUGUAAAGCCCUUUUGUUAGGAAAGAAAAGCAGCAGGUUAAUACCCCGCUGUUCUGACGGUACCCAAAGAAUAAGCUCCGGCUAACUUCGUG